This is a long non-coding RNA of Pygocentrus nattereri (red-bellied piranha), 794 nucleotides long. RefSeq lists it as uncharacterized. Lineage: Eukaryota; Metazoa; Chordata; Actinopteri; Characiformes; Serrasalmidae. The record is from RefSeq and is a predicted model, not a curated record. The transcript has 3 exons.
CCAAAAAUUUAAAGGUAAGUAAACAACUUGUCUGAAAUAAUCAUGUUUUUUUCAUUGUUUCUGUCUGAUAAUAAUGCAGGUUGAAAACUUUCACUGUAUUAUGACUGAUCCCUGAUAAUCAGUGUUUAGUGAAUAUGACUGUAUAUCUAAAAGACACUAAUACCACUUUGUUACCUCUCUUUUAAUCCACACUGUGAGGAAAGCCAAAACUUUAAAGCCAAAACUUUAAAGAGAACUACCUGAUGACCUCCUGAAGAACAGCAAUGAGUUCAUACGACUUUAUGAAGAACUUCAGCCUGAACUCGAACAGAUUAUCAACCAGAUGUUAAUAUGGACUGAUGAGGUUUUAGAGGAUUUUAGCAAUGCAGCUAAAAUGUGUAGAGGAAGGAGUAUAGCUGCAGCAGUAGGAGCUGGACUUGGAGUAGGAGUAGGAGUUUAGGCUAUAGGUGCGUUUCUGGCUGCCAUCUCUGGUGCUUUAGACUGGUAUGCCAGUACACUGGCUUCAGAGAUUAUGGUGAUAAAGCUCCCCUACUGCACUUAACAACUGCAGGUGUAUUAACAGUGUUUCCAGGUGACAAAAACAAACAGAAGAAACUUUUAAUGGAAGCAGAGACAACUCUGGAACAAUCCAGCACAGUGGCUGAUAGUCUUCAUCCCCCUGAACAACAUCUGUAAGCAUGUUGAGAAGAUGCUGCAGUAUCACAAUGAUGAAGCUGUCAGAAAGAGUGCAGGAGAUUUAUCAGAGCUUGUUCUGCAGUUUCCCCCUGGGAUCAAUAAACAAAUCUGAAUCUGAA